Molecule: long non-coding RNA, 1205 nt
Filed under: Bos indicus x Bos taurus (hybrid cattle)
Lineage: Eukaryota; Metazoa; Chordata; Mammalia; Artiodactyla; Bovidae
Description: lncRNA (ENSBIXG00005005314.1)
Source: RNAcentral
GAUUCUGAUGCUGGGAGAGAUUUGGGGCAGGAGGAGAAGGGGAUGACAGAGGAUGAGAUGGCUGGAUGGCAUCACUGACUCAAUGGACGUGAGUCUGGGUGAAGUCCAGGUGUUGGUGAUGGACAGGGAGGCCUGGCAUGCUGCAAUUCAUGAGGUCGCAAAGAGUCGGACACAACUGAGCAACUGAACUGAACUGAACUGUACAUAAUACUUCUGUUCAUGUAUAGUUUUAUGGUCAAAGAACAAAUUAAUUACAUGAACGAACUGGAUGACUUAACUCAGUUGUCCGAGACUGUUUCUGAGGAUGGUGAUGUGCUUUACUCUAUGAAUUCCACGUUGCAAGUAGAACCUCUCGAUGUGGGGUGUAAAGGUAGGACCGCAGUGUAAAUGUUAACAGAAAGCCUGUCUCUGUAUAGAGUAGUGAUAUAUGCACACCUUCUCAGUACUGCUUUAGAGUCAGGAAUAUGCUACAGUGCUGUGCAUCUCAUAAGUUUGAUUUGCAUUAAAAGGACAUGAAAGUCAGUGUAUACUCUGAGCCACAGGCCUACGAUACUCUCACUCACUGUACCUUCUGUUGACUCUUCUUCUUUCCUAUGCCUUCACCCAUGGUCAGGUCAGCAUCAUUUUCCUCCUAGAGUAACUGAAAUAAUCUCAGGACUUCUUUCCCUGCCACUCCACCUGGCAGAACCUUGGUCUGCACAGCAACUGUAAUUAUUGCCUAUUUUUAAACAUUCAGGUCUCAUCAUGCUACCCCCUUGCUUCAAGCCCAACUGUUGCCUCUCUUUGCUGUGUGGUUAAAGGUCACAAUUGUGUGGUUCCAUCUGGUUUUAGUUUUCACCCUUCUUUCUACAUGAAUUCUAGAAUCAGCUUGUAAGUUCCCUAAAAUAUCUGCUGGUCUUAACGUUUUCAUUUUCCUUCCAUUCAAAAUACUGUGUAUUUUCUCUUUUCAUUACCUCUUUGAUCCAAGGGUUAUUUAGAUCCAUGUGAUUUAGUUUCCAAAUAUUGAGAGUUUUCCAGAGAUCCUUCUGCGCUCUUGCUUCUCAUGAUUUGUUAGGUGCAUCCAGAGGGACCCUGGGGUUAGGGCUGAUUAUUUCCUGCCUUGGAGGCAAGACCUUGCUGACUACCCUGUUCAUUCUGCUGGUACCUAGGAGUUUUUCCAGCCUGGCUCAUGAGAAUAGAUAGAAUUCCUGGGACUGAGUGAGCAC